RNAcentral lists this ribosomal RNA (309 nucleotides) under Triticum aestivum (bread wheat). RNAcentral describes it as "partial small subunit ribosomal RNA". Lineage: Eukaryota; Viridiplantae; Streptophyta; Magnoliopsida; Poales; Poaceae. The record is from RNAcentral.
AUGGCACUACAUACCUUGCAUCUGGCUAGGGGUGGCAAGUUCAAAGGAAAUGACAGGAAGGAUGUUGCUCAAAUUUUUCAAGUUAGUGUUCAACAUAUUCAAAAAAUCUGGACGAUAGCAGAGCGGCAAAAAGCGCUUGGUCAAGAGGUGGAUGUAUCCAGCGGAAGGAAACGAAGAUGCGGGAGGAAAGGAAAGGAUGAUACUCUAUCCCAAAUCCCCACAGUCCCUUUGAAUAGUAGGUCGACUCUCAGGUCACUUGCUCGCCAAUUGGGUGUCAGUCAUACUACACUCGACAAGAAACUCAAGCUU